RNAcentral lists this long non-coding RNA (221 nucleotides) under Citrus maxima (pomelo). Its description in RNAcentral is "long non-coding RNA (CMAX_LNC002728)". Lineage: Eukaryota; Viridiplantae; Streptophyta; Magnoliopsida; Sapindales; Rutaceae. The record is from RNAcentral.
AAUGAUUCAGUCAUUUGUCACGUGCAGCACGUGGCUUUUAAGUUCAAAAGCUAAACGACUCAACAUCUGUCGUUUUGGAGAAACAUAAGUGAAGCACGUGAGCCAGCUCGUGAAGAAGGGAAUCAAGGCUGUUAAAAGCCGUUACACACGUGUCCAGUUUCUGUGCAAUCUGGGUUUCAGCAUCAGGGGUAUAAAACUGGUCGCUGAGGGAGAAAUACGUG